RNAcentral lists this ribosomal RNA (912 nucleotides) under uncultured bacterium. RNAcentral's name for it is "bacterial SSU rRNA". It matches the Rfam family "Bacterial small subunit ribosomal RNA", at positions 8 to 916 of the family's 1533-position model. The record is from RNAcentral.
AGAGUUUGAUCCUGGCUCAGAUUGAACGCUGGCGGCAUGCUUUACACAUGCAAGUCGAACGGCAGCGCGGGCUUCGGCCUGGCGGCGAGUGGCGAACGGGUGAGUAAUAUAUCGGAACGUACCCAAGAGUGGGGGAUAACGUAGCGAAAGUUACGCUAAUACCGCAUACGAUCUAAGGAUGAAAGCAGGGGAUCGCAAGACCUUGUGCUCCUGGAGCGGCCGAUAUCUGAUUAGCUAGUUGGUGGGGUAAAGGCCCACCAAGGCAACGAUCAGUAGCUGGUCUGAGAGGACGACCAGCCACACUGGAACUGAGACACGGUCCAGACUCCUACGGGAGGCAGCAGUGGGGAAUUUUGGACAAUGGGGGCAACCCUGAUCCAGCAAUGCCGCGUGAGUGAAGAAGGCCUUCGGGUUGUAAAGCUCUUUUGUCAGGGAAGAAAAGGCUGUAGCUAAUAUCUACAGCUGCUGACGGUACCUGAAGAAUAAGCACCGGCUAACUACGUGCCAGCAGCCGCGGUAAUACGUAGGGUGCAAGCGUUAAUCGGAAUUACUGGGCGUAAAGCGUGCGCAGGCGGUUUCGUAAGUCUGUCGUGAAAUCCCCGGGCUUAACCUGGGAAUGGCGAUGGAGACUGCGAGGCUAGAGUUUGGCAGAGGGGGGUAGAAUUCCACGUGUAGCAGUGAAAUGCGUAGAGAUGUGGAGGAACACCGAUGGCGAAGGCAGCCCCCUGGGUCAAAACUGACGCUCAUGCACGAAAGCGUGGGGAGCAAACAGGAUUAGAUACCCUGGUAGUCCACGCCCUAAACGAUGUCUACUAGUUGUUGGGUCUUAAUUGACUUAGUAACGCAGCUAACGCGUGAAGUAGACCGCCUGGGGAGUACGGUCGCAAGAUUAAAACUCAAAGGAAUUGACGG